AGAGUUUGAUCAUGGCUCAGAACGAACGCUGGCGGCAUGCCUAACACAUGCAAGUCGAACGAGACCUUCGGGUCUAGUGGCGCACGGGUGCGUAACGCGUGGGAAUCUGCCCUUUGCUUCGGAAUAACAGUUAGAAAUGACUGCUAAUACCGGAUGAUGUCUUCAGACCAAAGAUUUAUCGGCAAAGGAUGAGCCCGCGUAGGAUUAGGUAGUUGGUGGGGUAAAGGCCUACCAAGCCGACGAUCCUUAGCUGGUCUGAGAGGAUGAUCAGCCACACUGGGACUGAGACACGGCCCAGACUCCUACGGGAGGCAGCAGUGGGGAAUAUUGGACAAUGGGCGCAAGCCUGAUCCAGCAAUGCCGCGUGAGUGAUGAAGGCCUUCGGGUCGUAAAGCUCUUCUACCAGGGAUGAUAAUGACAGUACCUGGAGAAUAAGCUCCGGCUAACUCCGUG
This 453-nucleotide ribosomal RNA is filed under the name uncultured bacterium. Its description in RNAcentral is "bacterial SSU rRNA". It matches the Rfam family "Bacterial small subunit ribosomal RNA", at positions 8 to 507 of the family's 1533-position model. The record is from RNAcentral.